Hippopotamus amphibius kiboko is the source of this 1480-nucleotide long non-coding RNA. RefSeq lists it as uncharacterized. Lineage: Eukaryota; Metazoa; Chordata; Mammalia; Artiodactyla; Hippopotamidae. The record is from RefSeq and is a predicted model, not a curated record. The transcript has 3 exons.
UGGAGACGCGAGGACAAACCUAAUCAGGAAUCAGGCCCACGUCCUCAUCUCCGUGACCGGCCGUCGGGGUUUAAUUCCUAUCUGGUGUUAAAUGAAAGGCCAAGCAGAGGGGUUGACUGUAAUUCCAGAUGGACUCUGUGUAAACAACAGCGUGUAUUUUUCAAAGAAAUGGGUGUAAAGAGAAGGAAUACACGGAGGAUUUUACCGGAAUGCCUGUGUAAACAAGCACUAUUACUGCCCUCAAUUGUUUUGUCCUGCUUAAGAAAACAUACGUUGUGUUCUGCACUACCUACCUGCAGCCGAGGUGUGGCAUCUUCUGCUUGUCCAAACUGUGGUGUACAUUCCAGAUCCUUUAGCAUAAUAUCCUUUGGUCACAGAAAUGACAUCUUCAGGGAGAUGACUUUGAAGAAAUGCCUGAAGUGACAGUAGAAAUAUCUUCUUCUGUUAUCUGCUGAAAGUUACAUCAGAUUUUAGAGCAUGUACUGUGUUUCUGAUUGCCAUCUCUGAACUGUUGGAACAUUGAGAACAGCUUCUCCAGGAAGUCAGUGGUGACCAAAAACCUGGGGCAGGGAACUCAGGGAGACCAAGUCGACUGUAAAGUGAGAUUGUAGACACGGUUCAGCAGCAGACAUCUGGCGGGAAAGGGGCCCACAGCACUGACAGCAAAGAGCCGCUUCAGCUGGGUGUGGUAGCAGCUUGAAAUCCAGGAGGAAGGAAAACACAGUAACCAGGGUGAGGUACGUCCUCUGUGGGAAAGGCACCAGCACCAGCCUCUCCUGAUCAGUUGUUUGGGGGACCUUUGAAAGCACAGCCCUUGCCCAUUUUUCUUUCUCAGGCAUAAUCGUUUGGGGUCUUGUUGGAGAAAAAGGCUUUGAGAAUGGGGCAAGGGUGUGCUCCAGGACCUGGGUAGCUAGGCGGUUUUAAUGACCAUCCUCUUAUAGGUGGGCCCCAGGAAGAAUUUAUUGGGGGAGGGGGGGCAGUAGCUAAUUUUUCACAUUGUCACUCUAUAGGACAUCUGUACCAGCACAUCUUUCCCUUUUUGUGGUUAAAACAUCCCUCUGGAGAAUUAUCCCUGAGGCCCUGAGAGUUUUAUUGCUGUAUCCCCACCCUUCCACCUCCGCACCCCUCUCCCCACAGCCUCUUGGUCUCAGUUCAGAUGUCAAUCAAGGUGCCCAGCUCAGGACAACCUCUUAAGCUGGUCGGAGAGCUACUGCCAACUCCUGGAGACACAGCAGUAACUCACCUUUGUUCUGGUCCUAUAGCUUUAAACCCUGAAAUGGGGGCUGUGAAUCAUCUAACCUGAUGAGGAUCUUUGAGGCCCCAUCUGAUAAGCACACUUUGUACCAUAAACUCAAGUAAAAGUAAAAAUCAAAUCAAUCGACAAAAUUCAAAUAUUUUCUACCACCAAAUCACUAAGGCAACUCCAAAGAAUAUGCUUCUGGAACAAAAGGCAAUUCCAAAAGAGGUGCCCUAAAAAGGU